This is a non-coding RNA of Sturnus vulgaris (Common starling), 1125 nucleotides long. Lineage: Eukaryota; Metazoa; Chordata; Aves; Passeriformes; Sturnidae. The record is from RefSeq and is a predicted model, not a curated record.
AGUCCAGGUCCACGGGCCUAUAGAGAUCCCAGAAAAUGAAGAUGUUACUUUUUGUUUUCCUGUUCAUUAUAAAAAGGGUGGAAAGGUUCCUCUGAAGUUCAGUUACGUUGUUUUAAUGAUAUGAAUGAUUUGGUGGGGCAGACAAUCAGAAGUGGAAACUGAAUUCAAUAAUGUUACUGAGUCCUACUCUGGGCAAGUAGAUUAGAGACCACACAUGCAGGCUUGAAAACAUUUAAAUUUCAAAAUCUUGUUAUGUAAGGGGACACAAAACAAUGUAAAAGAUGUGAGGCCACACUCCCAGCUGGCAUAGAUCAGUGCAGCACCAUGGAUUUCAGGGUAGCAACACCAAUUUCUGCUGUUUGAGGUCCUGGCCUUUAAUCUGUCAUCAAUCUAAUAAAAUCGAGCUGCUCUAAUUACCACCAUGUCAGUCAGAAAUAUGUUUGCCUGAAAUGAUGAAGCUGAGCUGGAUCCUGGAGCCCACACAAGUCAGCAAGCACUGUGCAAAUCUGAGUUAAACCAUUUGUUUGCCCACUUAAGGAGAGGUUGUCCACGGUCAUGGUAUGUGUGGAAAGACAGCGGGGGAGUGAGAGGAACAACUGAAACAUAUGGCCCAAGUGAGCUUUCUCUUUAUUCCAAAGCACCAGGAUAAGACAAGCUGUUGAACCGAUGAGAAACCUUCCUCAUACACCAUAUUUCAAGAUUAAAACUGGGAGAAAUUCAGCACCAGUGAUCUCACAUCCAUGCUUGACUAAAGGUAUAGAAAACCAUUAAACUGAAAGCAGAGGAAAAAAAAAAGCCCCCAGGCCCAACCUCCCCUAAUCCAUAAUAGCUGCAUCAUUAUGUAAAAGAAAACAGCAAUUUCCCCACCAAUGUGCCCAUAAAUGGAAACCUUAUCAAUACCUCCACAUGCUCCCUGGCUUUAUGGCACUAUUAAGUUUAAUUGCACUGAUAUAAUGGAUUUUUAUGGAACAAUGUCUUUUCAGAAUCAGGUUUGGGGAGCGUGCAGGCACAGGAGAGGGGUCACACACAUUGAGACAUGCUCUUUACUGCACCUGAACUUAAUUUUGACCUCGUGUUUCUUGAAGAAAAAUGUGGAAGUGGCAUUUCUGACACUUUUUUGCCGUG